This 468-nucleotide ribosomal RNA is filed under the name uncultured bacterium. RNAcentral describes it as "partial 16S ribosomal RNA". It matches the Rfam family "Bacterial small subunit ribosomal RNA", at positions 28 to 507 of the family's 1533-position model. The record is from RNAcentral.
GACGAACGCUGGCGGCGUGCUUAACACAUGCAAGUCGAGCGGAAAGGCCCUGCUUUUGUGGGGUGCUCGAGUGGCGAACGGGUGAGUAACACGUGAGUAACAUGUCCUUGACAUUGGGGUAACUUCAGGAGACUGGGGCUAAUACAGGAUAGGAGCUCCUGCUGCAUGGUGGGGGUUGGUAAGUUUCGGCGGUUGGGGAUGGACUCGCGGCUUAUCAGCUUGUUGGUGGGGUAGUGGUGUACAAAGGCUUUGACGGGUAGCCCGCCUUGGAGGGGGACCGGGCACCAGGCGCCUGCGGUAGGGCCCAGACGGCUACGUUCCGCAGCAGGCGAAAACAUUGCACAACGGGCCCAAGCGAGAUGCAGCAACGCCCCGAUCGUGAUGCUCUCUUUUUAGUGAUAAACCACUUUCGCCUGAGCCGAACCCGGAUUGACGGUAACGAGUAAAGAAGCACCGGCUAACUACGUG